This 416-nucleotide ribosomal RNA is filed under the name uncultured bacterium. Its description in RNAcentral is "bacterial SSU rRNA". It matches the Rfam family "Bacterial small subunit ribosomal RNA", at positions 28 to 426 of the family's 1533-position model. The record is from RNAcentral.
GACGAACGCUGGCGGCGUGCCUAAUACAUGCAAGUAGGACGCACAGCCUAUACCGUAGCUUGCUACACCAUAGGCUGUGAGUUGCGAACGGGUGAGUAACGCGUAGGUAACCUGCCUAUUAGAGGGGGAUAACUAUUGGAAACGAUAGCUAAUACCGCAUAACAGUAUGUAACACAUGUUAGAUGCUUGAAAGAUGCAAUUGCAUCGCUAGUAGAUGGACCUGCGUUGUAUUAGCUAGUAGGUAGGGUAAUGGCCUACCUAGGCAACGAUACAUAGCCGACCUGAGAGGGUGAUCGGCCACACUGGGACUGAGACACGGCCCAGACUCCUACGGGAGGCAGCAGUAGGGAAUCUUCGGCAAUGGGGGGAACCCUGACCGAGCAACGCCGCGUGAGUGAAGAAGGUUUUCGGAUCGU